AUGCUGAUUUGGGGUCAGGACAGGCCUCGCAGCGGGCUCACUGAGCAGCCUGCUGGGCCCUGCGCUUAUCCUGCCCCGCGCCUCACUGCGGCCUUCCCAGUGCCCAGCGCCAACAGGCCAGCAGCAGCACCCGGCUUUUUUGCUGCCAUUUCCUUCUAUUUUCUUAUUUUUCGUCCCCUCCGCCGUGCCCGGCGCUGCGCCCUCCGGCCGGCAGAGCGCGGCAGCGGGCAGGAAGGGGCAGGGGCCGCUUCCCCCCUGCCUCGGCCCGGGGCGCCGAAUGGCCGCCUAGCGCAGGGCCUGCACCGCCUCCUGCUCUUCUUCCUCCUCCUCUUCUUCAUCCUCCUCCUCCUCGUCCUCGUCCUCGUCAGCCGCCGCCAUGGGCCGCGAGUCCAGGCAUUAUCGGAAGCGCUCCGCGUCACGGGGACGCUCUGGCAGCCGGUCUCGAAGUCGUUCUCCCUCUGACAAAAGGGGAAAACGUGGCUGAAGACAGACGCUCUAGGAGCAGAGAUCGGGAGCGCAGACGUGAGAGGUCACGCAGCAGGGACAAGAGAAGAUCUCGAUCGCGUGACAGGAAGCGUCAAAGGUAGGAGUUACAAAUUCCAGUCACAGCACAUAAAAAAUUCUGUCAUCUGAACACUGACGUUCUUCCUCAAUCAAUCAAAUCAAAGUUAUUUACUUUGUUGUAGUCCAUGAUAGAUUUUACUGUGCUUAAUGUUUUUGCUUGUUAGAUGAUGUCUUGGUGCUAGACUUUGUUAGCUCUUUGUGGUCUUGAUGAUUGUUGGAUUCCUUUUACAAGGGUUCAUCAAUAGCAGGCUAAAAUUGUGUUAUGAUCACAUGCUAAAUAAAUACAAUUUUGUUCUGGGGCAGACGUUCGAGAAGUAGAGAGAGGGAACGAAGUCGGGAGAGAAGAAGAUCCCGCAGCCGAGAGAGAAGGCGCUCUAGAAGCAGAAGUAGAGGUAGACGGUCUCGAUCCCCCAGCCCAAGCAAGAACAGGAAAACAGAAAACAGGUAUUUGUGUUCUUGAAUUACAGUCCAUAUCACAGUGACAAAGUACUGCAAAACUAUUGGUAUAAUGGAAGGAAUCCUCAGGCAAAACUACCAAAAGCUUUGCUUUGUAGAACAAGGAGAAUAUUCGAUGAAUGUACAGUUAUGAUCUUUUCCUAUCACUUAAUGUGCUUUGAUGCAUCAAAUAUUUUUAGAUUUCUUACUUCAAGGUGUGCAAAUACUAAUGUGUGUAUGUAUUUAUUAUUUCUAAUACACCUUGUUGUAAGAACGGUUCUAUAAAAGAAGAAGAUCCAAGCG
Molecule: long non-coding RNA, 1302 nt
Filed under: Anas platyrhynchos (mallard)
Lineage: Eukaryota; Metazoa; Chordata; Aves; Anseriformes; Anatidae
Description: lncRNA (ENSAPLG00020017567.1)
Source: RNAcentral